This 492-nucleotide ribosomal RNA is filed under the name uncultured bacterium. RNAcentral describes it as "partial 16S ribosomal RNA". It matches the Rfam family "Bacterial small subunit ribosomal RNA", at positions 29 to 507 of the family's 1533-position model. The record is from RNAcentral.
AGUGAACGCUGGCGGUAGGCCUAACACAUGCAAGUCGAACGGCAGCACAGUAAGAGCUUGCUCUUACGGGUGGCGCGUGGCGGACGGGUGAGGAAUACAUCGGAAUCUACUUUUUCGUGGGGGCUAACGUAGGGAAACUUACGCUAAUACCGCAUACGACCUACGGGUGAAAGCAGGGGAUCUUCGGACCUUGCGCGAUUGAAUGAGCCGAUGUCGGAUUAGCUAGUUGGCGGGGUAAAGGCCCACCAAGGCGACGAUCCGUAGCUGGUCUGAGAGGAUGAUCAGCCACACUGGAACUGAGACACGUUCCACACUCCUGCGGGAGGCAGCAGUGGGGAAUAUUGGACGAUGGGGGCAAGCCUGAUCCAGCCAUACCGCGUGGGUGAAGAAGGCCUUCGGGUUGUAAAGCCCUUUUGUUGGGAAAGAAAAGCAGCAGGUUAAUACCCCGCUGUUCUGACGGUACCCAAAGAAUAAGCACCGGCUAACUUCGUG